GAUGAACGCUGGCGGCGUGCCUAAUACAUGCCAGUCGAGCGGACAGAUGAGGAGCUUGCUCCUCUGACGUUAGCGGCGGACGGGUGAGUAACACGUGGAUAACCUACCUAUAAGACUGGGAUAACUUCGGGAAACCGGAGCUAAUACCGGAUAAUAUAUUGAACCGCAUGGUUCAAUAGUGAAAGACGGUUUUGCUUUCACUUAUAGAUGGAUCCGCGCCGCAUUAGCUAGUUGGUAAGGUAACGGCUUACCAAGGCAACGAUGCGUAGCCGACCUGAGAGGGUGAUCGGCCACACUGGAACUGAGACACGGUCCAGACUCCUACGGGAGGCAGCAGUAGGGAAUCUUCCGCAAUGGGCGAAAGCCUGACGGAGCAACGCCGCGUGAGUGAUGAAGGUCUUCGGAUCGUAAAACUCUGUUAUUAGGGAAGAACAAAUGUGUAAGUAACUAUGCACGUCUUGACGGUACCUAAUCAGAAAGCCACGGCUAACUACGUG
Molecule: ribosomal RNA, 497 nt
Filed under: uncultured bacterium
Lineage: Bacteria
Description: partial 16S ribosomal RNA
Rfam family: Bacterial small subunit ribosomal RNA
Source: RNAcentral